UAAAGAAAGUAAGAGUUUGACACUAAAAUAAAACCUGAUAUGGUUACGGCAAUUCAUGUAAUUUUGCAACAUUUCAGAAUUACCUUAAACAUUCCUACACUGAACUACUGUACUCCUUCCAAAAAUAUUACACCUAUGCCAAAUGAAACAUAUUAAUAUGACUUAUUAAUAAAAAUUGACUACUACAAAAGAGGUACAACCUUGAUGUUGUAAAGGGUUUAAGUACGUAAAUAAUUGAGAUAUUAAUCCUCUUGUUUUUCUCUUAAAGCGACGAAAUUGGCAUCUACUCAUCGAUACUCGUUGCUUGCAGCAAUAAUAUAGCAACAGUCAAACUAAUUGAAAGUUCUCUCCCAACUCCUCAUCAUGGCUCCUUAUCAGAGGCUGACCCUCAGCCAAAAACUCGACAGCGAACAAAAAAAGAAAAUGUCAAUGAUCAACAACCUGAACUUCCCUCCGCCCAAAUCUCUGAAAAGGAUGAUAUAUCUCUACAAAGUUCAAAACCAGAGACACUACUGGGGAAGAAUGCACUAGAGGUCCUCCCUCAAAUCAAAUGCAAAGAGCAUCAAAUUUGGGUCUGAACCACAGCAGGGUUGAGCAAUACUCUUCGGAAAAGCAGAUUCAAUUUCUUGUGGAACAAUGCACUCCGCACUUGGCACUCAAGAUGAGCAAUUUGGACCAACUUCAAAUUCAACUUCAACCUCCGAAAAAUGGAUCACACAGACUUCAGGCACUGUUCAAGACUGCUGACAUGCCUGGAUCAGAGAGAACCAAAGUUAAAAUGAAGUUGGACCGCCAAGAACUCACCCCAUCAAGAGUUUCGUCUUGCUCACUUACGUCUCAUAUAACAGCACCUUCGUUGAAAUCUUAG
RNAcentral lists this long non-coding RNA (868 nucleotides) under Bemisia tabaci. Its description in RNAcentral is "lncRNA ENSSWEETPG004530". Lineage: Eukaryota; Metazoa; Arthropoda; Insecta; Hemiptera; Aleyrodidae. The record is from RNAcentral.